CCUUUCAUGAAUGUGACCUUCCGAAUUAGACUAUUUACCGGAUUUGUAAUCACAUAAGCAACACGACGGGUGCCACAUGUGGAGCAGGAUCUGCUUACCCUUCCGGAGCACCUGAGAUCACCCCUAGUUUUUAGUGGGGUUCGUGUUGUUUAUUCUUUAGUUUUCUAUGUUGUGUCAUGUGUACUAUUGUUUUUCUGUUUGUCUUUUUCAUUUUUAGCCAUGGCGUUGUCAGUUUGUUUUAGAUUUAUAAGUUUGUCUGUCCCUUUGGUAUCUUUCGUCCCUCUUUUU
This 288-nucleotide long non-coding RNA is filed under the name Mytilus galloprovincialis (Mediterranean mussel). The record is from RNAcentral. Lineage: Eukaryota; Metazoa; Mollusca; Bivalvia; Mytilida; Mytilidae.